This 230-nucleotide ribosomal RNA is filed under the name uncultured bacterium. Its description in RNAcentral is "partial 16S ribosomal RNA". It matches the Rfam family "Bacterial small subunit ribosomal RNA", at positions 15 to 236 of the family's 1533-position model. The record is from RNAcentral.
GAUCCUGGCUCAGGAUGAACGCUAGCUACAGGCUUAACACAUGCAAGUCGAGGGGAAACGACAUCGAAAGCUUGCUUUUGAUGGGCGUCGACCGGCGCACGGGUGAGUAACGCGUAUCCAAUCUGCCCAUCACUUGGGAAUAACCUUGCGAAAGUAAGACUAAUGCCCAAUGAUAUCCCACGAAGGCAUCCGAAUGGGAUUAAGAUUAUCGGUGAUGGAUGGGGAUGCGU